Molecule: ribosomal RNA, 253 nt
Filed under: uncultured bacterium
Lineage: Bacteria
Description: partial 16S ribosomal RNA
Rfam family: Bacterial small subunit ribosomal RNA
Source: RNAcentral
UACGUAGGAGGCGAGCGUUGUCCGGAUUUACUGGGCGUAAAGAGCGCGUAGGCGGCUGGUUAAGUCUGGUGUGAAAUCUCCCGGCCCAACUGGGAGGGGACAUCGGAUACUGGCUGGCUGGAGUGCGGCAGAGGGAGGUGGAAUUCCCGGUGUAGUGGUGAAAUGCGUAGAUAUCGGGAGGAACACCAGUGGCGAAGGCGGCCUCCUGGGCCGUAACUGACGCUGAGGCGCGAAAGCGUGGGGAGCGAACCGG